CUUACUUUGGAUUAUGUUUAAUUAAGAAAAGCAAAGUGCAUACAGAGAUUUAUAACUUUAAAAACAAAAAAAAAAAGUCUUUUUAUAUGAUCCAAAGAAUAAACUCAAAAGUCCAUGACAAAUAGAAGUUCUAAACAAUUGUUUACAAAUACUUUAGGUAUAAUUACAGUAAAAGUCAAGUUCAUUUGAAAUCACCAAAAAAAAAGUUUCAGGUUGGACACGGUGGCUCACCACCUGUAAUCCCAGUAUUUAGGGAUUUUCUUACAAUAAAAGGCAUACAGGUUGAUUAUUUUAGGCAUACAGGUUGAUUAUUUUAGGCAUACAGGUUGAUUAUUAAAUGACAUGAUUGCCCAUAUAUAAAAUUUUAAGGAAUCUAAAAACAAAAAACAGCUUCCAAAACUAGUGAGUUUAGAAGCACAGAGGAUGCAACAUAAAUAUAUGAAAAUCGAUUGUAUUUCUAUAUAGUAACAAAAAACAAGUAGACACUAAAAUUAAAACUACUAUGUUGUUUAUAAUCAUUCGAAAAGGUAAAUACUUAGCUAUAAAUCUCACAAAACAUGGACAGAACUCAUAAGCUGAAACCUACACAGUGCUGAGGAAAACAGUCCCUGGAUCAUCCUGCAGCCUGGAGGGCACCGCCUCGGCGGCCCGGCUGACUCUCACGGCCCUGGGACUUUCAGGGUGGAGCGUGAACAGGCUUCCGGGAAACAUCUUCCAUCAGCCAAACCGUCCCGCUGCCUUAUUGAAGAAGUCCAUCUUCCAGUUUUUCUGCUCAUAUCUCUGAAUCUCUCCUUGGCAAAGGCUCACGUGGGCUCCGGCACGGGCGUCAUGCGGAGGACAAGGAAGGGGAGCCGCGCGUCUGGGGGUGACUCCCGGAGCCCCGCCUGCACCCAGGCCCGCCCUUCCUGCGCAGUGGCCCUGCCUGAGGCUGCUUUCCACCAGCGGGAAUCGAAACUGAUCUAGAUGAGAACACAUAUGUGGAGGGAGGAGACUUGGCUAGAAAGGAGAAAGAGCAAGAACACCUUUAUGAGGCAGAGAAGGGACAGUGACGAGGAUUAG
This 1059-nucleotide long non-coding RNA is filed under the name Homo sapiens (human). Its description in RNAcentral is "HSALNT0239425". The record is from RNAcentral. Lineage: Eukaryota; Metazoa; Chordata; Mammalia; Primates; Hominidae.